This 117-nucleotide non-coding RNA is filed under the name Neomoorella glycerini. RNAcentral describes it as "Moorella glycerini SAM-I sequence". It matches the Rfam family "SAM riboswitch aptamer (S box leader)". Rfam says of the family: The SAM riboswitch is found upstream of a number of genes which code for proteins involved in methionine or cysteine biosynthesis in Gram-positive bacteria. The SAM riboswitch acts at the level of transcription termination control. Lineage: Bacteria; Bacillati; Bacillota; Clostridia; Neomoorellales; Neomoorellaceae. The record is from RNAcentral.
CUCUUAUCAAGAGUGGUGGAGGGACUGGCCCGAUGAAGCCCGGCAACCCGCUGUCCCGGCUUGACUGGGGGCGACAGGUGCCAAUUCCUGCAGGGCAUUUGCCCUGAGAGAUAAGGG